GUUAAGCCCGUCUUCAAAUCGUCGGUGCAUCUUGGCUUCUGUAGGAACAUAUUCCCUGGCAUACUUACUUACUCGAAAAAACUCUCUUUCAUAUUCUGAGACUGUCAUAUUACCUUGCUUCAGCUCAAGAAACUCUUUACAUUUCUGAUCAAUAAAUCUUUCACUAAUAUAUUUCUUUCGAAACUCUUCUUGAAAGAAUUCCCAGGUUACCCUCUCUUUCGGUACCACUGAAAUCAAAGUCUUCCACCAAUUAUAGGCUGAAUCUCUCAACAAAGAUGUAGCACAUUUCAAACAUUCUUCAGGUGUACAAGAUAAUUCAUCAAAUACUCGGAUAGAAUUUUCAAGCCAGAACUCUGCUUUCUCUGCAUCAUCAUCAAUAUUUGCUCUAAAUUCUUCAGCCCCUUGUUUACGAAUUCU
Molecule: long non-coding RNA, 417 nt
Filed under: Gossypium barbadense (sea-island cotton)
Lineage: Eukaryota; Viridiplantae; Streptophyta; Magnoliopsida; Malvales; Malvaceae
Description: long non-coding RNA (GBAR_LNC011330)
Source: RNAcentral